This 512-nucleotide ribosomal RNA is filed under the name Salmonella enterica. RNAcentral's name for it is "bacterial SSU rRNA". It matches the Rfam family "Bacterial small subunit ribosomal RNA", at positions 1003 to 1515 of the family's 1533-position model. The record is from RNAcentral. Lineage: Bacteria; Pseudomonadati; Pseudomonadota; Gammaproteobacteria; Enterobacterales; Enterobacteriaceae. RNAcentral also lists the same sequence under 1 other name.
GAGAUGAGAAUGUGCCUUCGGGAACCGUGAGACAGGUGCUGCAUGGCUGUCGUCAGCUCGUGUUGUGAAAUGUUGGGUUAAGUCCCGCAACGAGCGCAACCCUUAUCCUUUGUUGCCAGCGAUUAGGUCGGGAACUCAAAGGAGACUGCCAGUGAUAAACUGGAGGAAGGUGGGGAUGACGUCAAGUCAUCAUGGCCCUUACGACCAGGGCUACACACGUGCUACAAUGGCGCAUACAAAGAGAAGCGACCUCGCGAGAGCAAGCGGACCUCAUAAAGUGCGUCGUAGUCCGGAUUGGAGUCUGCAACUCGACUCCAUGAAGUCGGAAUCGCUAGUAAUCGUGGAUCAGAAUGCCACGGUGAAUACGUUCCCGGGCCUUGUACACACCGCCCGUCACACCAUGGGAGUGGGUUGCAAAAGAAGUAGGUAGCUUAACCUUCGGGAGGGCGCUUACCACUUUGUGAUUCAUGACUGGGGUGAAGUCGUAACAAGGUAACCGUAGGGGAACCUGC